GAUAGGGGACUCCGAGUGUGAGGGCAUAUAGCCCUCGCUUUUCUGAACCGUAAGGUGGUUCAGGAACAAGGACUGGGCAAGACCGGUGCCAGCCGCCGCGGUAAUACCGGCAGUCCAAGUGAUGGCCGAUAUUAUUGGGCCUAAAGCGUCCGUAGCUUGCUGUGUAAGUCCAUUGGGAAAUCGACCAGCUCAACUGGUCGGCGUCCGGUGGAAACUACACAGCUUGGGGCCGAGAGACUCAACGGGUACGUCCGGGGUAGGAGUGAAAUCCUGUAAUCCUGGACGGACCACCAAUGGGGAAACCACGUUGAGAGACCGGACCCGACAGUGAGGGACGAAAGCCAGGGUCUCGAACCGGAUUAGAUACCCGGGUAGUCCUGGCUGUAAACAAUGCUCGCUAGGUAUGUCACGCGCCAUGAGCACGUGAUGUGCCGUAGUGAAGACGAUAAGCGAGCCGCCUGGGAAGUACGUCCGCAAGGAUGAAACUUAAAGGAAUUGGCGGGGGAGCACCACAACCGGAGGAGCCUGCGGUUUAAUUGGACUCAACGCCGGACAUCUCACCGGUCCCGACAGUAGUAAUGACGGUCAGGUUGACGACUUUACUCGACGCUACUGAGAGGAGGUGCAUGGCCGCCGUCAGCUCGUACCGUGAGGCGUCCUGUUAAGUCAGGCAACGAGCGAGACCCGCACUUCUAGUUGCCAGCAAUACCCUUGAGGUAGUUGGGUACACUAGGAGGACUGCCGCUGCUAAAGCGGAGGAAGGAACGGGCAACGGUAGGUCAGUAUGCCCCGAAUGGACCGGGCAACACGCGGGCUACAAUGGCUAUGACAGUGGGAUGCAACGCCGAGAGGCGAAGCUAAUCUCCAAACGUAGUCGUAGUUCGGAUUGCGGGCUGAAACCCGCCCGCAUGAAGCUGGAUUCGGUAGUAAUCGCGUGUCAGAAGCGCGCGGUGAAUACGUCCCUGCUCCUUGCACACACCGCCCGUCAAAGCACCCGAGUGGGGUCCGGAUGAGGCCGUCAUGCGACGGUCGAAUC
RNAcentral lists this ribosomal RNA (1036 nucleotides) under Haloarcula argentinensis. RNAcentral describes it as "bacterial SSU rRNA". It matches the Rfam family "Archaeal small subunit ribosomal RNA", at positions 369 to 1409 of the family's 1478-position model. The record is from RNAcentral. Lineage: Archaea; Methanobacteriati; Methanobacteriota; Halobacteria; Halobacteriales; Haloarculaceae.